UGGGGAAUUUUGCGUAAUGGGCGAAAGCCUGACGCAGCAAUCUCGCGUGGAGGAUGAAGCUCUAUGGGGUGUAAACUCCUUUUCUGGUGGAAGACGAUUGACGGUACACCAGGAAUAAAGGACGGCCAACCACGUGCCAGCAGCCGCGGUAAUACGUGGGUCCUAAGUGUUAUCCGGAUUUACUGGGCGUAAAGCGUCUGUAGCCGGUUAAGUAAGUCAGUUUUUAAAUACCCCGAUUCAAUCGGGGAAAGGGAAUAGAUACUACUUGUCUAGAAAUUGUCAGAGGUUAGUGGAAUUUCCGGUGGAGCGGUGAAAUGCGUUGAUAUUGGAAGGAACGCCAAAAGCGAAAGCAGCUAACUAUGACACAUUUGACGGUCAGAGACGAAAGUUUGGGGAGCAAACAGG
This 405-nucleotide ribosomal RNA is filed under the name uncultured bacterium. RNAcentral's name for it is "bacterial SSU rRNA". It matches the Rfam family "Bacterial small subunit ribosomal RNA", at positions 355 to 776 of the family's 1533-position model. The record is from RNAcentral.